Eutrema salsugineum is the source of this 343-nucleotide long non-coding RNA. RefSeq lists it as uncharacterized. NCBI's taxonomy places the organism in Eukaryota, Viridiplantae, Streptophyta, Magnoliopsida, Brassicales, Brassicaceae. The record is from RefSeq and is a predicted model, not a curated record. The transcript is spliced from 3 exons.
GGUGAAGCAGCUUCUUGUAUCUCUGUUUCUGUUGAACUUGGGUCUGCCUCUUCCAUUUUUUGAAGUAACACAUUUCUUCAUUGUUCUUAAACCGAGCAUGGAAGGCACCUUCUGCAUUUUCUUCUUCUUCAUCUAGAAAUUUCUUUUUUUCAUGGGCUUCUAGAGAACCUAUCAGCUCCGCAUAGGAAUGUGCCAGGAGAUCCCAAGCCUGUUUUGCAGUUGUUGCAUAAAUGAUUUUGUCAAAGAUGGUGUCAGUUAUGGCAUAUUGAGUUAUUUGAAGUACAGCUGUAUCCUAGAUAAUCAAAAUUAUAUAGAAUCAUACAAAAAACUACUAAGUGAUUAG